CAGGACGAACGCUGGCGGCGUGCUUAACACAUGCAAGUCGAACGAUGACGGUGGUGCUUGCACCGCCUGAUUAGUGGCGAACGGGUGAGUAACACGUGAGUAACCUGCCCUCCACUUCGGGAUAACCUCGGGAAAUCGUGGCUAAUACCGGAUAUGAGCACUCAUCGCAUGGUGGGUGUUGGAAAGAUUUAUCGGUGGGGGAUGGACUCGCGGCCUAUCAGUUUGUUGGUGAGGUGAUGGCUCACCAAGACGAUGACGGGUAGCCGGCCUGAGAGGGCGACCGGCCACACUGGGACUGAGACACGGCCCAGACUCCUACGGGAGGCAGCAGUGGGGAAUAUUGCACAAUGGGCGAAAGCCUGAUGCAGCGACGCCGCGUGGGGGAUGACGGCCUUCGGGUUGUAAACCCCUUUCAGUAGGGAAGAAGCGAGAGUGACGGUACCUGCAGAAGAAGCGCCGGCUAACUACGUGCCAGCAGCCGCGGUAAUACGUAGGGCGCAAGCGUUGUCCGGAAUUAUUGGGCGUAAAGAGCUUGUAGGUGGCUUGUCGCGUCUGCCGUGAAAACCCGAGGCUCAACCUCGGGCGUGCGGUGGGUACGGGCAGGCUAGAGUGUGGUAGGGGAGACUGGAACUCCUGGUGUAGCGGUGAAAUGCGCAGAUAUCAGGAAGAACACCGAUGGCGAAGGCAGGUCUCUGGGCCAUUACUGACACUGAGAAGCGAAAGCAUGGGUAGCGAACAGGAUUAGAUACCCUGGUAGUCCAUGCCGUAAACGUUGGGCACUAGGUGUGGGGGACAUUCCACGUUUUCCGCGCCGUAGCUAACGCAUUAAGUGCCCCGCC
Molecule: ribosomal RNA, 839 nt
Filed under: Brachybacterium sp.
Lineage: Bacteria; Bacillati; Actinomycetota; Actinomycetes; Micrococcales; Dermabacteraceae
Description: bacterial SSU rRNA
Rfam family: Bacterial small subunit ribosomal RNA
Source: RNAcentral